Molecule: ribosomal RNA, 471 nt
Filed under: uncultured bacterium
Lineage: Bacteria
Description: bacterial SSU rRNA
Rfam family: Bacterial small subunit ribosomal RNA
Source: RNAcentral
ACUCCUACGGGAGGCAGCAGAGGGGAAUAUUGCACAAUGGGCGCAAGCCUGAUGCAGCCAUGCCGCGUGUAUGAAGAAGGCCUUCGGGUUGUAAAGUACUUUCAGCAGUGAGGAAGGUGGGUAUGUUAAUAGCAUAUUCAUUUGACGUUAGCUGCAGAAGAAGCACCGGCUAACUCCGUGCCAGCAGCCGCGGUAAUACGGAGGGUGCGAGCGUUAAUCGGAAUUACUGGGCGUAAAGCGCAUGCAGGUGGUUUGUUAAGUCAGAUGUGAAAGCCCGGGGCUCAACCUCGGAAUUGCAUUUGAAACUGGCAAACUAGAGUACUGUANAGGGGGGUAGAAUUUCAGGUGUAGCGGUGAAAUGCGUAGAGAUCUGAAGGAAUACCGGUGGCGAAGGCGGCCCCCUGGACAGAUACUGACACUCAGAUGCGAAAGCUGGGGAGCAAACAGGAUUAGAUACCCUGGUAGGCUACU